AGAGUUUGAUCAUGGCUCAGAACGAACGCUGGCGGCAGGCCUAACACAUGCAAGUCGAGGGGCAGCAUAUCGCUUCGGUGAUGAUGGCGACCGGCGCACGGGUGAGUAUCGCGUUUGCAACCUACCCUUAACUGGGGGAUAGCCCGAAGAAAUUCGGAUUAAUACCCUAUAAUAUUUAAACACGGCAUCGUGUUUUCAUUAAAGCUCAGGCGGUUAAGGAUGGGCAUGCGUGACAUUAGUUUGUUGGUGAGGUAACGGCUCACCAAGACUACGAUGUCUAGGGGGUCUGAGAGGAUGAUCCCCCACACUGGUACUGAGACACGGACCAGACUCCUACGGGAGGCAGCAGUGAGGAAUAUUGGGCAAUGGACGCAAGUCUGACCCAGCCAUGCCGCGUGCAGGAUGACGGCGCUAUGCGUUGUAAACUGCUUUUAUACAGGAAGAAACCCUCCUACGUGUAGGAGGUUGACGGUACUGUGAGAAUAAGCAUCGGCUAACUCCGUGCCAGCAGCCGCGGUAAUACGGAGGAUGCAAGCGUUAUCCGGAUUUAUUGGGUUUAAAGGGUGCGCAGGCGGGGCAAUAAGUCAGUGGUGAAAUCCUGCGGCUUAACCGUAGAACUGCCAUUGAUACUGUUGCCCUAGAGUAUAGUUGAGGUGGGCGGAAUAUGUAAUGUAGCGGUGAAAUGCAUAGAGAUUACAUAGAACACCAAUUGCGAAGGCAGCUCACUAAGCUAUCACUGACGCUGAGGCACGAAAGCGUGGGGAGCGAACAGGAUUAGAUACCCUGGUAGUCCACGCCGUAAACGAUGAUCACUCGUUGUUGGCAAUACAUCGUCAGCGACUGAGCGAAAGCAUUAAGUGAUCCACCUGGGGAGUACGAUCGCAAGAUUGAAACUCAAAGGAAUUGACGG
This 910-nucleotide ribosomal RNA is filed under the name uncultured bacterium. RNAcentral describes it as "bacterial SSU rRNA". It matches the Rfam family "Bacterial small subunit ribosomal RNA", at positions 8 to 916 of the family's 1533-position model. The record is from RNAcentral.